GGAGGCGAACUUUAAGCGGGCAAUAUCUGUGGCAAAAAGGCUAAGAGGAAGAAGAUUUGGCCAGGCAAGAUAUGAGCUGGGACACUUGCAGAGCACAAAGGCUGGUGGCUAAAAGGGUCAGAGGACGGCGGCACCCGAGGGCUAGUGGAGAGGCGAGAGCAGUAAGUGUUAGGAGCCAGGAGCCCUUUCGAGAUCUUGUUUGCUUGUGGGGUCCCAGGUACCGGUGGUGGUGGAGCUUCUAGGCAGUGUCCGCUUCCUCGGACGCUAUGGUGAGUGGGGAGCUAGAACUUGGGGAGAAGCGGAUGGGGUAUCAAGCGGAGCCUGAUCUGCUGCAAGAGGUAAAGCCAGAAUUCGCGGUGGACCCAGAGACCCCCAACGGGUCUGUCCCGGGGCCACUACCAGAGGUGCGCCUGACCCGGCGGCGCUGGGCAAUUGUCUUCCUCUUCAGCUCCUAUUCCUUCUGCAACGCUUUCCAGUGGAUCCAGUAUGGCAGCAUCAACCUCAUCUUUGCCCGCUUCUAUGAUGUGACUCCCUUUACUAUUGACUGGCUCUCCAUGUGCUACAUGAUCGUCUACAUACCCCUACUUUUCCCCGUUGCCUGGCUCCUUGACAAGAAGGGACUGCGCUUCAUUGCUCUGGCUGGCUCUGCUCUCAAUUGCCUGGGCGCCUUGGUGAAGAUAGGCAGCGUGAAACCCAGCCUCUUCCCCGUCACUAUCCUGGGCCAGGUCGUCUGCUCUCUGGCCCAAGUCUUCAUCCUGGGGAUGCCAUCCCGCAUCGCUUCUGUCUGGUUUGGACCCGGUGAGGUCUCCAGUGCCUGUUCAAUUGCUGUCUUUGGGAACCAGCUUGGCAUAGCUGUGGGUUUCCUCCUCCCUCCAGUUCUGGUUCCCAAUCUGAUGGAGAAGGAGAAGCUGGCCUACCAUAUUAGCAUCAUGUUUUUUAUGACUGCAGCUGUGGCAACAGCACUCUUCAUUUUGGUACUUCUUGUGUUCCAGAAAAAGCCUCCCUAUCCUCCAAGCCGGGCCCAAGCCUUGAUCCACUCAGCAGCACCUGAGGAAUAUUCUUAUAUGCAAUCUAUUAUCCAUCUGUUUCGCAAUGUCAACUUUGUGCUUUUAAUAGUCACUUAUGGCUUAAACACAGGUUGCUUCUAUGCUCUCUCAACUCUGCUAAACCGCAUGGUGAUGUUGCACUAUCCGGGUGAGGAUUUGAAUGCUGGCAGAAUUGGUCUCACCAUUAUAGUGGCUGGCAUGGUUGGAGCUUUGAUCUCUGGCAUCUGGUUGGACAGAACCAAAGCAUAUAAGCAAACAACGCUGUUGGUUUAUAUCAUGUCAUUUGUAGGCAUGGUGGUUUACACUUUUACUCUUGAGCAGGGCCAUAUCUGGGUGGUCUUUGUGACUGCAGGUAUACUGGGUUUUUUCAUGACUGGGUACCUACCACUGGGCUUUGAAUUUGCAGCAGAAUUAACAUAUCCAGAAUCGGAAGGGACAUCAUCAGGCCUCCUUAAUGUGUCUGCACAGAUUUUUGGAAUAAUUUUCACCAUUAGCCAAGGACAGAUAAUUGAUCAUUUUGGGACUCAAGCAGGAAACCUCUUCCUCUGUGCCUUCCUGUUUAUUGGCACUGUUAUAACUGCUUUUAUCAAAGCUGAUCUCCGGAGACAGCAGGCCAAUCUGCGUAAUGAACAGACUGUAUGGGUUUUUAAUGGCUGAAUGCUGUUAAGAUUCUCCUCCAGGAAUCAGCAGAGCACGGCAUGUGCCCAAGAGCAGUCGGGAGGACUGAAAGAGACAUGCAGGCAACUUCUUGGUUUGAGAGCAUACAUACAGCGCACUAGAACACAUUGGGAAAAGUGCCUCACAACAGCACUGUGCCACUGUAUGAGGAAUCAAAAUUAUAAAGGUGGCAGAGUGAAGAGCUGCUGCUGCUGUUAUAACCAACUUCAUUCUCAUCUCUGCCACCUAUACCUCCCACUAUACAUGAUGUAGCCCAGCAACCAAGGGCAAUCCAGGAAGCUGCUUAUGUUGCUGAUGGAAAGGAAUGUACAGGGCUUGAGUUGCCCUCAUCUGAGCUAACUUCUUUGACUUUGUGGUGUUUGGGAGAAAAGGACUGAAGGCAGCAGUUGCUCAGUGGAAAAGAACGUGUCUUGGCAGUUGCAGCCAAAUCAGUGAAUCCAGUGUUGCUUCCAUCGCAUGGAUUGAGAACUACCAUCUGUUAAUCAUUUUAUGUGCCCAGUGGAUGUAUCAAUUGGGAUAUGAGAUGGAUCCAGAGGAAGAUCCUUGCUCCUUAGGGAGAAUCAGAAAGCACUUGCUCUGUGAGCAGUCCUAAUUGAAGCGCAAUGCUUGAUUUGCAAGUGGUGAACUGAUUUUACCUGGAGGCUUUCUCCACUUCAAAACUUCCUGUUAUAGAUUAUCUGUUUCAGUGAAUGCAGUUCAGAAUAUGUUUUUAAAGUAACGUUCAAUAGUUUUGAAAUGGAAAUGCUCUAUUUUUACCCAAAUUGGGCGAUACUCUAGAAAUGCCACAGGGAAAUAUUUUUUACAGAAUAUUUGAAAAGCACAUUGUGUCAUAGGUUAUUUCCACACUAGAGCCUUUUAGCACUACUGAAGCAUGGCUUUUCCACAUUUGGCUGGAAGCAGCAAUAAAACAGAGGUUCUACAUAGCACUUUGAAUAGCAUAAUCUUAUCCAGCAAUGCCCUUGCUCAUGGCCAAGUAAAUCGCUCAGAGUUCUGUUCAAGAAAAGUCCCCUGCAAGGUUAAUUAAAAGUUAACUCUUGUUGGGGGAGGAAUGAAGAAAUUGUAUUGCUGGUUUCCUUGUGUUACGUUGUUCUUCUGCAGUGAAAUAGUACUAUCAAAUAGAGAAAAAUACAAUGCAAGAAAAGCAUUAAUUGAACAGAAGAUGACUAAUCUCAGGGGAAUUUAUCACCAAUUCCUACAGCUGUGCUGGACAAGAAGCAAUUAAACUCUGAGGCAACUUAAUUAAAAGUGUAGUAGCUCCCAAGAGCCUCAAUAAGACUUUGUUGGUCCACAUGGGACAAGCUAGCACUGCAACUGAAUUUUAUUGCAAGAGGAAAUGAUGCCACAAUUUGGGUCUGAAAGAACAUAGGAGACACUGGAAUGCAACAAUUUGGCAACAAAUUGCCAGAUUGUAAAAAGUAAGUGAACCAUUAAGGACGGCUGUUUCAGAGAAAUGGGCCACUGUGGAAGCAACCCUAGUAUGCAGUGGCUAGCUUUGUGGUCUAUGGAAAUUAUUUAAACUUCAGAUAGAUUUCAUGGAAAUUCACCCUUGAUCAGGGGAGGAAAAAUGCAGUUUAAUUUACAGACAAAGAUGAACCUUCUAUAUUUUGAAACGAUUGUGAGUUGAACAAUGCAGACAUGCCCACCUCCAUACCCAUGAUGAUCUAUGAGGAAUUAUCAAGUGCCAUUUCCCAAUCAGAGUAAGGAGAAUUGUGCGAUUUCCACUGAUUUUGAAGGAGGUACACAUACAAAGAUCCAUUGAAUAUCUGUGCGGCUCUCCUUAAUUUUCUUGUGUUGUUCAGAGAUCCUGUUGUAUAGUAUCUGUUAUCUGCUAACUCCAUUGCUAAAUGAGACUUUGGGAUUUGUUCAUGAACUCUUGUGACUAGGAUGUGUUGCACUUUCAUUUGGAAAUCACUGUGUAACUAUAAAGACAUAUUUUUGUGGAAAAUACAUCAUAGGCUACUGCCAAGCAGCAUUUUCUGGUUCUAGAACAAAUGUACAAUAUUUUUUUCUAUAGCACUUUUAAAUUUUACAAAGCACUUUACAGUUUUUCUCAUUCACAAAAAGGCUCCCAAACUCUUUUGUAGUCACACAUCUAACAAAGCCCGUGAAUAGUGUGCUGGAUUGAGACCACAUAGUCCUAGGUUUAAAUCUCUGCUUGGCAAUGAAGCUCAGUUCAUGACCUUGGGUGCACCAUUCUGUGUCAGCCCAGUCUACCUCACAGGAUUAUUGUGAGGCUAAAACAGUAAAAGGUAUAUCAUGGAGCUCUCUGGAAGAAGGGUGGCGUACAAAUAAAAUAAAUGAGAUGGAAGUGAUUCUACCACUGCCUCCCUGGGAUCUCAGGGAUUGUCCACAAUUUUGCUUUUCCUUCUCCUAUUGAAUGGUACUAAGCUUGCAGCUUGAUAAGGGUUAAGUUGUAUCUGGUAAUUUCCCUUUGUCUGAGAACUAGCUAGGAAAUGAAUGGCCACAGGGGAAAGUUCACAUCGGAGCUUCUACAGCUAGGGAAUCAUAGUUCCAAUGCCUGAAUUUGUAUUAUACUCCUUUUGGCUUGCCUAACUCACUCUCUUUAGAUAUGCUGCCUCCAUUUCCUUGCCUGGCAUGUCUGCCCACUGUUACUCAUCUGAAAGAUGGGUUUGGGGUUGGCAGUCUCUGUUACACAACAGCACUGUAAUAUAUACAACAAUUGUUGAUAUGGUAAAGCACUUACUUCCCCACCCCAUGCAAAAAACAUGCAGCCCUUAUCUUUGCUGACUUAUUGGUCAACAAUGCUAAGCAAGAGUGACUCAUAUAGUUCAUAUACUUUAUUGCUUUCCUUUUAAUCUUUUUAAAGGCUUGGAAAUGUAGAAAAUGUUGGAAAAAAUGCUGGAAAGCCAUCAGUUAACUUGUUUUCAAUAAUCUGUGGUGCUUCAAGGCAGGAAUUGGCAGAUGAUUUAUCUGACCUAUUGAUAAGUUUCUUAUUUGCAGUAUGCUGGAAAGGAUUUCCAACUUCUAAUUGUUAAUAGCAGCACCAAAAUGAGCCCCUCCCCCAUAACAAUUAUACUGUGGAAAUGAUGAAAACUUUGGGUAACCAGGAGUGGAUUUUUAGCUCUGUUUAGUUCUGGAACUAAAAACAAACUGGACUCAGAAUACACUUAGAAUUUUCACUAGGCUCUGGCUGGUGAAUCUUGGGAGUUCUAGGAAAAAGGAGAUCCCACAAGUGUGAAGUCUACUUGCCCCUGUCCCAAGUUAUAUGAGUCUUCAGGCAUACGAGUGGUUCUGAACAGUGGGUUGAGAAGCAUGGCUUUUAUUGCAAUUAAUGUUCUUUGUAUUUAUGUUUUCCUUAAUUUUCUUUUCUUCAAUGUUUUGUUACAUCUAUCUUGGUGUAGUUUUAAGUAAUAGGUUUAACUCGCAAAAGAUGGUGCAAAAUUAAAACACUAAGGCUGCAAUCCCAAAUAUAUUUAUUUGGGUGGAAUUGCUCACCCCAUGUUUAUGUGCAAGUCACACUCACAAAUAAGUGUGUGUUUAGGAUUGCAGCCUUAGUUGCCUAUAGGAGGUGAAAACAUUAUCACAAGCUAGUGUUACACUGGCUUUUCUGACUAUAUAUUUAUUAGUUCAGUAUGUUGUCAUCUUCCAGCUAUAUUUUUAGUAUUAUACCUAUCUUUGCCCCAAGUCAGGCUUCCUGGAAUGGAUCUUUCCCAGAGUUGUGCAGCCUCAAAGGAUAGCGAGGAAAAUGUUCCCCUUUCUGUAUUUAAAUAAUCCACAUGUUGGUCAAUUAUACUAGCCUAGGGCUGGCCCAAAGUUUCCCCCCUCCCUGGAGGAACUAAAAUUUUGCCCUUAUUGUAUUCCUAUGUGCUGAACAGCUUAACAGUGGAACUUUAAAUGACUAAAGAAUUGAUCGGCGUUAUUUUCUUAUUUUUAUUUUCAGUUUCAGUAACUUAGCAUACUUACUUGUAUUGCACAUUAAUUCAGCUGUACUAAAUACUGAGCACCAUCAUCAACAAGAUCAGAACCCCCAUUUCACCCAUAAACAUGCACUUUAAAAAAGUGAAUAAAGUCAAUACUUUAACAUUCCUUCACCAUCCUGACUGUGAGUAACACUUAACUUACAAAGAUCCGUGGGGCACCAAAAUGAAAAUGGGCAGCCUGACCCUUUGAUGAAAUAGAUUGGGAUGGUGAUAGACUAAGACAUCUAGAAUGCAGGAAAUAUAACUCAGCUAAUGAAAGUUUAAGCUGCCUCUGUGCACCUCCUUCAAAAGUAUUUCUCCAACACUUCCGGGAAGGGUGACUUCGCUUGUGCCUGCUUUUGAGACGGGCUCCCGCCUCAAAAGAAGCUUAUUCAGAUAUAAAUCAGUCAGAACAUUUUUUAUUUUGACUGAUGAAAUUUCUCCCGGGCAGGGAGAAACGUAGAGAUCAACCUCAAAAGCCUGUUUUUGUUGGGAGGACUGGAUUUCAUUAAUUUAUGAGAAAAGGUCCAGCCAGCAAUGCCGGACGGACUUCCAAACAAGCUCUAUCUGAUUAAUGCGAUAUGUUUAUCUUUUCUUCAAAGAGAAAACAGACUAACAGGCAAGCACCCUUCUUUCUAUUAUUUUUUUUACUUGGUUUAAAUUGUUGCAGCAAAAACAGAUUUGUCAAAUGAAUCAGCUUUAAAGAGCUUCUGGGUGAGCUAUAACUCUUCUCUGUUAUUCACGAAAUUAACAGCUUAUCUCUGUUUCUAUUGCAAAAAGCUGUCCUGGAAGUGCAUUCUAAAGAUAUAAACAGAAGAGGGAUUUCUAUUCCGAGGAACAUUAUAUUGUCUGGGACUAUUCUCUUUUUGUUCUAUUUUAUUUUGACGAAUCUGCUUCUUCACGACGCCGCUAACUGUUUUGAUGCUGGGAACUAAAUUUGUUUUGUAUUCUUGAACAUAGAGAGAUAAGGCAGGCUGCUCUGUUUAUACUGUGAUGUCAUCAAGCCUGGAAUAUUAACCCAAUUGUUGCUGAAAUAAGAAGUGGUUCUUCUUUAUUUUUGUUUUGUUUUGUUUUGGUGGUUUUAAAAAUGGCAAUAAAGGAAGUGGCUGAGAAUCUGGAAGUAAUUAUGUUUCAGAAAAUAAUGGAUGAGAUUGAGAUAAUGAAACAAACCCUGCGACAGGGCAGUAAGGAGCUGAAAAUUGAACUGAGCAAAAUGACGCAGGAGCUUAAAGAAAUAGGGGAUCCUGUGAGAGAGGAGAAUGAGAUCAGAGAUGAGAAAAGAAAAAAUAAAGGGAAGAUACAAGCCCUGGAGAUUGGAACAAAUGUGGAAUUGGAAAAAGAUCUGGAGUUUAUGGAUAUUAGAAAUAAAAUCUACUGUUUGGAAUUUAACGUUAUCUCUGAAGAAAUUAAUGAAGAUAUUAGAGAUAAAGUUAUCAAUGGCUUGGAUAAUCUUCUGGACUGGAAUGACGUGAUGGAGCUUGAUAUAGAGAAAAUCUAUGGAAUUAACUGCAGCCAUGUGACAAUGGAAAAACUCUCAAGAGAUGAGCCAGUGCAUUUUGUAAAAAAGAAGAACAGAGAUAUGACUUUACAACAAUAUUUCAGCAACUUAUUCAGAAUUGAUGGCAAGAAAAUAUUUGGGAUAGAGAAAAUUCCCAUCAGACUCUUAUUAUAUGACUAUGGCUAUGACAGCAAGAUUAUUAUGGAAUACUGAUAAUGGAAGAUUGGACACUGAAAUUACUGGACUUAACAGGACUAUUGAAGAUGGAAGAUGGAAUUAAUAGGGAUAAUGGAAUAAUGGCUAUUGAAAUUAUUGGACAGAUUUUGAUGAGAUGGAUUAAUCAAUAUGUUUAUUUGGACUAUGGUUAUGACAAUAAGAUUAUUAUUAUUAUUAACGAGAUGGAUUAAUCGACAUGUUUAUUUGGAGAAAAAUUGAUAGAUAUAUUUCUUAAAGAAUUGAAACCUCUCUUUGACUUUUUGUGGAAAGAAUAAAGUAAUGUUUAUGAGAUUUGAUGAUUAAUUAAGAUAACUACUGGAGGAAAGUGAUUUUAUAAUAUAAUUUAAGAGACAGGAUUGUUAUAUAUUGUA
Rhineura floridana is the source of this 7729-nucleotide RNA transcript. It is a transcript of the gene named FLVCR choline and putative heme transporter 2, with no coding region annotated. The transcript has 11 exons. The record is from RefSeq and is a predicted model, not a curated record. Lineage: Eukaryota; Metazoa; Chordata; Lepidosauria; Squamata; Rhineuridae.